RNAcentral lists this ribosomal RNA (556 nucleotides) under Hypocreopsis amplectens. RNAcentral describes it as "eukaryotic LSU rRNA". The stretch from base 228 to 381 matches the Rfam family "5.8S ribosomal RNA". The record is from RNAcentral. Lineage: Eukaryota; Fungi; Ascomycota; Sordariomycetes; Hypocreales; Hypocreaceae.
ACAAGGUCUCCGUUGGUGAACCAGCGGAGGGAUCAUUACCGAGUUUACAACUCCCUAAACCCCAUGUGAACCAUACCAUUCUGUUGCUUCGGCGGGAUUGCCCCAGGCGCGGCCGCGAGGCCAGCCCUGGAGCCAGGCGCCCGCCGGAGGACCCUCAAAACUCCCUGUAUUUUUCUCUAGUGGCUUUAUCUGAGUGGACUGUACGCAGUACAAAAAAAAUGAAUCAAAACUUUCAACAACGGAUCUCUUGGCUCUGGCAUCGAUGAAGAACGCAGCGAAAUGCGAUAAGUAAUGCGAAUUGCAGAAUUCAGUGAAUCAUCGAAUCUUUGAACGCACAUUGCGCCCGCCAGUAUUCUGGCGGGCAUGCCUGUCCGAGCGUCAUUUCAACCCUCGAGGCCCCCCUAGGCAGGGGGAACCCGGCGUUGGGGAUCGGCGCCCGCCUCGUCGCGGGCGGCCGCCCCCUAAAUACAGUGGCGGUCCCGCCGCAGCCUCCCCUGCGUAGUAGAAUUACAGCUCGCACCGGAGCGCGGCGCGACCACGCCAUCAAGGCCCCAGC